This 76-nucleotide transfer RNA is filed under the name Candidatus Woesebacteria bacterium CG_4_10_14_0_2_um_filter_39_14. Its description in RNAcentral is "tRNA-Asp". It matches the Rfam family "tRNA". Rfam says of the family: Transfer RNA (tRNA) molecules are approximately 80 nucleotides in length. Their secondary structure includes four short double-helical elements and three loops (D, anti-codon, and T loops). Further hydrogen bonds mediate the characteristic L-shaped molecular structure. tRNAs have two regions of fundamental functional importance: the anti-codon, which is responsible for specific mRNA codon recognition, and the 3' end, to which the tRNAs corresponding amino acid is attached (by aminoacyl-tRNA synthetases). tRNAs cope with the degeneracy of the genetic code in two manners: having more than one tRNA (with a specific anti-codon) for a particular amino acid; and 'wobble' base-pairing, i.e. permitting non-standard base-pairing at the 3rd anti-codon position. RNAcentral also lists the same sequence under 1 other name. The record is from RNAcentral. Lineage: Bacteria; Candidatus Woeseibacteriota.
GGGGUCGUAGCGUAGCAGUUAACGCGCCUUCCUGUCACGAAGGAGAUCGAGGGUGCGAAUCCCUUCGGCCCCGCCA